Molecule: transfer RNA, 77 nt
Filed under: Staphylococcus pseudintermedius
Lineage: Bacteria; Bacillati; Bacillota; Bacilli; Caryophanales; Staphylococcaceae
Description: tRNA-Asp
Rfam family: tRNA
About the family: Transfer RNA (tRNA) molecules are approximately 80 nucleotides in length. Their secondary structure includes four short double-helical elements and three loops (D, anti-codon, and T loops). Further hydrogen bonds mediate the characteristic L-shaped molecular structure. tRNAs have two regions of fundamental functional importance: the anti-codon, which is responsible for specific mRNA codon recognition, and the 3' end, to which the tRNAs corresponding amino acid is attached (by aminoacyl-tRNA synthetases). tRNAs cope with the degeneracy of the genetic code in two manners: having more than one tRNA (with a specific anti-codon) for a particular amino acid; and 'wobble' base-pairing, i.e. permitting non-standard base-pairing at the 3rd anti-codon position.
Source: RNAcentral
GGUCCCGUAGUGGAGCGGUUUAACACGCCUGUCUGUCACGCAGGAGAUCGCGGGUUCGAUUCCCGUCGGGACCGCCA